This 561-nucleotide ribosomal RNA is filed under the name uncultured bacterium. Its description in RNAcentral is "partial 16S ribosomal RNA". It matches the Rfam family "Bacterial small subunit ribosomal RNA", at positions 355 to 907 of the family's 1533-position model. The record is from RNAcentral.
UGGGGAAUAUUGGACAAUGGGCGCAAGCCUGAUCCAGCAAUGCCGCGUGUGUGAAGAAGGCCUUCGGGUUGUAAAGCACUUUUAUCAGGAGCGAAACGCUGUCGGCUAAUACCCGGCGGAACUGACGGUACCUGAGGAAUAAGCACCGGCUAACUUCGUGCCAGCAGCCGCGGUAAUACGAAGGGUGCAAGCGUUAAUCGGAAUUACUGGGCGUAAAGCGUGCGUAGGUGGUUUCUUAAGUCUGCUGUGAAAUCCCCGGGCUCAACCUGGGAAUGGCAGUGGAUACUGGGAGGCUAGAGUGUGUCAGAGGGUGGUGGAAUUCCCGGUGUAGCGGUGAAAUGCGUAGAGAUCGGGAGGAACAUCAGUGGCGAAGGCGGCCACCUGGGACAACACUGACGCUGAGGCACGAAAGCGUGGGGAGCAAACAGGAUUAGAUACCCUGGUAGUCCACGCCCUAAACGAUGCGAACUGGAUGUUGGUCUCAGCUCGGAGAUCAGUGUCGAAGCUAACGCGUUAAGUUCGCCGCCUGGGGAGUACGGUCGCAAGACUGAAACUUAAAGG